UGGUAUGGAUUCAAUUCUUUGCUCAAGUUGCUUAUAGACCUAAACACAGAAAAUCAAUGAUUCAUACUGUAAAUGUGUUGUCAAUGAAUAAUUAUACCUGGUGCAUAACCUCAGGGGAUUGAGAAUUGGGUUGAAGUGCCUUCAUGAGGGUAUUAAGCCGAGCUGCAGAAGUGAAGAAAAAUUCAUCAAAAACAACUGUGCAGAACAUUUCAUUGACAAAUUCAUCCUGCAUUGGGAUAAGAUGAGCAACCUAUUACACAAUGAAAAUUAUUUACUGAUGGAUCCCAAAACUAAAUUUGCUAGAAAAUUUCACCAAAGUAUGGAGGAAGGGAUCUUCAAAUGAUCUUUCACCAUGUCCUACAGCCAGCGUGCCUAGCACACGCGUUAGAGCCACUUUAUCUCUACUCCUUGCAACCUGAAACCAAGAAAUUAAUAUAGAAGCCAUUUCUGAUCUUCAAGCACUUCAAUCUUCAAGCACACGAUACCUGCAGGGUAUAAUACAUCGCCAGAACACAGGGAACACUACUUUCAGAAAUUUAUGCAGAUUUGCAGUAAACUAGGGAAUUCUUCACGAGUACCUGAAUGUUCAAUAACUGUCAGAGCCGAUUCACGCUCAUCACUGGGUAAUUUAGCAUUUAGAGAUCGAACUUGAUCGUCUACUAUCAGCGACAUAAGAGCUGGAAGAAACUUGGUUACAACUUGAGAAUCAAGUCGGGGUUCACGAAAUUCCUAUGCAAGAUUUUAAAGAAUUAAUUAUGAAUAAUGACUUUUGAAUCCCUGCUUACCUGUGAAUCUAUCAUUUGCCAUGCACUUAGUCCAAGAGAAAGCAUGCGUAAUAGUAAAAGCAGAAUAUGGUGUUCCCGAGGCAGGCUCUCCGACACGACCAAGUUAUGCAAAAUUUUUAAAGAUGAUGUAGCCAAAAAGUGGACGGCAUAAGGAUCGCACAACAUCAUGGAGAGAUCUCCAAGAACUUGCUCUUGACCACUUUUGAUACCAUCCAAAAACGCCUGAAUCUCUCGCGAUCGCUUCGUAUCCACGUUACGCUCUCUAAUGCAAGCGUCCACACACCAAGUGAAUUUGUGACAAGGAUCGACAUUAGUAAUUUCUUGAACUUCAGUUUCGUGUAGGGCCAUUAACAGUUCGGCACGCAAGGUACAGUAAUGAACAUUACGAGUACGCAAGAAUAAUGUCCUCAAGAAUUGUAAAACCAUGUCAUAUAGCCGAACGUUGUUUCCAAUCAUAUGCGCUAGCUUCUGGACAACUUCUCCUUGUCGGCGAACCUGAAAUUUUGGUAAUUAGCACUAUUUAAAUAUUCUCAAAUUGAUUCCAAUGGUUCUGUCGAAGGGAAACUGCAACGCUACCUUUGGAGAUGGUAGGAAAAACAAAUUUGUAAGAUUA
Long non-coding RNA from Daphnia magna, 1398 nucleotides. RefSeq lists it as uncharacterized. The transcript has 3 exons. The record is from RefSeq and is a predicted model, not a curated record. Lineage: Eukaryota; Metazoa; Arthropoda; Branchiopoda; Diplostraca; Daphniidae.